Molecule: ribosomal RNA, 109 nt
Filed under: Flavobacteriaceae bacterium Ap0902
Lineage: Bacteria; Pseudomonadati; Bacteroidota; Flavobacteriia; Flavobacteriales; Flavobacteriaceae
Source: RNAcentral
UUGGGUGAUUAUUGCGGCAGGGCUCACCUCUUCCCAUUUCGAACAGAGAAGUUAAGCCUGCCAGCGCCGAUGGUACUUCGAUAAGAGGGAGAGUAGGACGUCGCCACUU